Molecule: ribosomal RNA, 497 nt
Filed under: uncultured bacterium
Lineage: Bacteria
Description: partial 16S ribosomal RNA
Rfam family: Bacterial small subunit ribosomal RNA
Source: RNAcentral
GAUGAACGCUGGCGGCGUGCCUAAUACAUGCAAGUCGAGCGAACGGACGAGAAGCUUGCUUCUCUGAUGUUAGCGGCGGACGGGUGAGUAACACGUGGAUAACCUACCUAUAAGACUGGGAUAACUUCGGGAAACCGGAGCUAAUACCGGAUGAUAUUAUGAACCGCAUGGUUCAAAAGUGAAAGACGGUCUUGCUGUCACUUAUAGAUGGAUCCGCGCUGCAUUAGCUAGUUGGUAAGGUAACGGCUUACCAAGGCAACGAUGCAUAGCCGACCUGAGAGGGUGAUCGGCCAUGCUGGAACUGAAACACGGUCCAGACUCCUACGGGAGCCAGCAGUAGGGAAUCUUGCGCAAUGGGCGAAAGCCUGACGGAGCAACGCCGCGUGAGUGAUGAAGGUCUUCGGAUCGUAAAACUCUGUUAUUAGGGAAGAACAUAUGUGUAAGUAACUGUGCACAUCUUGACGGUACCUAAUCAGAAAGCCACGGCUAACUACGUG